GUGUCAGCCGCCGCGGUAAUACGUAGGCAGCAAGCGUUGUUCGGAGUUACUGGGCGUAAAGGGUGUGUAGGCGGCUUCGUAAGUUCGGUGUGAAAUCUCCCGGCUCAACUGGGAGGGUGCGCCGGAAACUGCGGAGCUGGAGCGCAGGAGAGGAAAGCAGAAUUCCUGGUGUAGCGGUGAAAUGCGUAGAUAUCAGGAGGAAUACCGGUGGUGAAGGCGGCUUUCUGGACUGCUGCUGACGCUGAUACACGAAAGCGUGGGGAGCAAACAGGAUUAGAUACCCUGGUAGUCCACGCCCUAAACGAUGCAUACUUGGUGUGGGCCGUUCAGUCGGUCUGUGUCGGAGCUAACGCGUUAAGUAUGCCGCCUGGGGAGUACGGUCGCAAGGCUGAA
This 393-nucleotide ribosomal RNA is filed under the name uncultured bacterium. RNAcentral describes it as "bacterial SSU rRNA". It matches the Rfam family "Bacterial small subunit ribosomal RNA", at positions 505 to 898 of the family's 1533-position model. The record is from RNAcentral.